GAUGAACGCUGGCGGCGUGCCUAAUACAUGCAAGUCGAGCGAACAGACGAGGAGCUUGCUCCUCUGACGUUAGCGGCGGACGGGUGAGUAACACGUGGAUAACCUACCUAUAAGACUGGGAUAACUUCGGGAAACCGGAGCUAAUACCGGAUAAUAUAUUGAACCGCAUGGUUCAAUAGUGAAAGACGGUUUUGCUGUCACUUAUAGAUGGAUCCGCGCCGCAUUAGCUAGUUGGUAAGGUAACGGCUUACCAAGGCAACGAUGCGCAGCCGACCUGAGGGGGUGAUCGGCCACACUGGAACUGGGACACGGUCCAGACUCCUACGGGAGGCAGCAGUAGGGAAUCUUCCGCAAUGGGCGAAAGCUUGACGGAGCAACGCCGCGUGAGUGAUGAAGGUCUUCGGAUCGUAAAACUCUGUUAUUAGGGAAGAACAAAUGUGUAAGUAACUAUGCACGUCUUGACGGUACCUAAUCAGAAAGCCACGGCUAACUACGUG
Molecule: ribosomal RNA, 497 nt
Filed under: uncultured bacterium
Lineage: Bacteria
Description: partial 16S ribosomal RNA
Rfam family: Bacterial small subunit ribosomal RNA
Source: RNAcentral